AUUAGGUGCUUGCACCUUUCAAGUGAGUGGCGAACGGGUGAGUAACACGUGGGCAACCUGCCUCAAGGCUGGGGAUAACAUUUGGAAACAGAUGCUAAUACCGAAUAAAACUUAGUGUCGCAUGACAUAAAGUUAAAAGGCGCUUCGGCGUCACCUAGAGAUGGAUCCGCGGUGCAUUAGUUAGUUGGUGGGGUAAAGGCCUACCAAGACAAUGAUGCAUAGCCGAGUUGAGAGACUGAUCGGCCACAUUGGGACUGAGACACGGCCCAAACUCCUACGGGAGGCUGCAGUAGGGAAUCUUCCACAAUGGGCGAAAGCCUGAUGGAGCAACGCCGCGUGUGUGAUGAAGGCUUUCGGGUCGUAAAGCACUGUUGUAUGGGAAGAACAGCUAGAAUAGGAAAUGAUUUUAGUUUGACGGUACCAUACCAGAAAGGGACGGCUAAAUACGUGCCAGCAGCCGCGGUAAUACGUAUGUCCCGAGCGUUAUCCGGAUUUAUUGGGCGUAAAGCGAGCGCAGACGGUUUAUUAAGUCUGAUGUGAAAGCCCGGAGCUCAACUCCGGAAUGGCAUUGGAAACUGGUUAACUUGAGUGCAGUAGAGGUAAGUGGAACUCCAUGUGUAGCGGUGGAAUGCGUAGAUAUAUGGAAGAACACCAGUGGCGAAGGCGGCUUACUGGACUGCAACUGACGUUGAGGCUCGAAAGUGUGGGUAGCAAACAGGAUUAGAUACCCUGGUAGUCCACGCCGUAAACGAUGAGUGCUAGAUGUAGGGAGCUAUAAGUUCUCUGUAUCGCAGCUAACGCAAUAAGCACUCCGCCUGGGGAGUACGACCGCAAGGUUGAAACUCAAAGGAAUUGACGGGGGCCCGCACAAGCGGUGGAGCAUGUGGUUUAAUUCGAAGCAACGCGAAGAACCUUACCAGGUCUUGACAUACUCGUGCUAUUCCUAGAGAUAGGAAGUUCCUUCGGGACACGGGAUACAGGUGGUGCAUGGUUGUCGUCAGCUCGUGUCGUGAGAUGUUGGGUUAAGUCCCGCAACGAGCGCAACCCCUAUUGUUAGUUGCCAUCAUUAAGUUGGGCACUCUAACGAGACUGCCGGUGAUAAACCGGAGGAAGGUGGGGAUGACGUCAAAUCAUCAUGCCCCUUAUGACCUGGGCUACACACGUGCUACAAUGGAUGGUACAACGAGUCGCGAGACAGUGAUGUUUAGCUAAUCUCUUAAAACCAUUCUCAGUUCGGAUUGUAGGCUGCAACUCGCCUACAUGAAGUCGGAAUCGCUAGUAAUCGCGGAUCAGCACGCCGCGGUGAAUACGUUCCCGGGCCUUGUACACACCGCCCGUCACACCACGGGAGUUGGGAGUACCCGAAGUAGGUUGCCUAACCGCAAGGAGGGCGCUUCCUAAGGUAAGACCGAUGACUGGGGUGAAG
RNAcentral lists this ribosomal RNA (1426 nucleotides) under uncultured bacterium. RNAcentral describes it as "bacterial SSU rRNA". It matches the Rfam family "Bacterial small subunit ribosomal RNA". The record is from RNAcentral.